RNAcentral lists this long non-coding RNA (926 nucleotides) under Triticum aestivum (bread wheat). RNAcentral's name for it is "long non-coding RNA (TAES_LNC008925)". The record is from RNAcentral. Lineage: Eukaryota; Viridiplantae; Streptophyta; Magnoliopsida; Poales; Poaceae.
GCAGAACCACCACACACACCGACGCACUCUCACUCUCCUGCCGCGGUGCGCCGUACCUGCUCUCUAGACAAGAUGUCGUCAGUCAGUGCCCGCGCUCCCGUGGCCGCUCUCCGGCCAGCGGCGUCAGCGUCGAGCCCCCGGUUCCUGGGCGACUCCGGCCGCGUCGGCCUCGCCAAGUCCACACGCCGCGACGUCGCCGUCCAGGCCAAGGGGUCGUGGCUCCCCGGCCUCCCCUCCCCUGCCUACCUCGACGGCAGGUGGGAACAUAACAAUAACACAUGAUGCGCUUCAUGCAAGAUGCAGCGCACAUACUUGUAUGCUAAUACUCUUUGUUGGAUGGAUCGUUCAGCUUGGCGGGUGACAAUGGUUUCGACCCGCUGGCGCUGGCGGAGGACCCGGAGGACCUGCGGUGGUUCGUGCAGGCGGAGCUGGUGAACGGGCGGUGGGCGAUGCUGGGGGUGGCGGGGAUGCUGAUCCCGGAGGUGCUGACCAAGGCGGGGCUCCUGAACGCGCCCGAGUGGUACGACGCCGGCAAGGAGACCUACUUCGCCUCCUCCUCCACGCUGUUCGUCAUCGAGUUCAUCCUCUUCCACUACGUCGAGAUCCGGCGGUGGCAGGACAUCAAGAACCCGGGCUCCGUCAACCAGGACCCCAUCUUCAAGAGCUACAGCCUCCCGCCCCACGAGUGCGGCUACCCCGGCAGCGUCUUCAACCCCCUCAACUUCGCCCCCACCCUCGAGAACAAGGAGAAGGAGCUCGCCAACGGUACCUCCAUAGUCUCUCUUCUUCUUCUUCUUUUUUCAAAUAUCCAGCUAGAUGGCUGGCUUCUAUUUCAUGAUCCAUCGUCUCUUCUGGACCCUCGGUUCCUAAUCGGACGGCUCUUGUUAAUUUUUGGAUUUUUUUUUCAUUCAUUCAUUCAGGUAGAC